This is a microRNA precursor of Equus asinus (donkey), 105 nucleotides long. Lineage: Eukaryota; Metazoa; Chordata; Mammalia; Perissodactyla; Equidae. The record is from Ensembl.
GAGCUCCCCGAGGGUUCGGAGACUGGCUAACUGGGAGUGCUCUCGGCCAUGGGAGGCCCCUUCCCACAUGGCUGCAGUCCUGGCCUCUCCAUUUAUCCCUUCCUG